RNAcentral lists this ribosomal RNA (253 nucleotides) under uncultured bacterium. Its description in RNAcentral is "partial 16S ribosomal RNA". It matches the Rfam family "Bacterial small subunit ribosomal RNA", at positions 524 to 776 of the family's 1533-position model. The record is from RNAcentral.
UACGUAGGUGGCAAGCGUUGUCCGGAAUUAUUGGGCGUAAAGCGCGCGCAGGCGGCCUUUUAAGUCUGAUGUGAAAGCCCACGGCUUAACCGUGGAAGGGCAUUGGAAACUGGAAGGCUUGAGUACAGAAGAGGAAAGCGGAAUUCCACGUGUAGCGGUGAAAUGCGCAGAUAUCAGGAGGAACACCGGUGGCGAAGGCGGUUCUCUGGGAAUAUACUGACGCUGAGGAGCGAAAGUGUGGGGAGCGAACAGG